CAGUCGCCACGGUAAAACGUAGGGCGCAAGCGUUAUCCGGAAUUAUUGGGCGUAAAGAGCUCGUAGGCGGUUUGUCGCGUCUGCCGUGAAAGUCCGGGGCUCAACCCCGGAUCUGCGGUGGGUACGGGCAGACUAGAGUGAUGUAGGGGAGACUGGAAUUCCUGGUGUAGCGGUGAAAUGCGCAGAUAUCAGGAGGAACACCGAUGGCGAAGGCAGGUCUCUGGGCAUUAACUGACGCUGAGGAGCGAAAGCAUGGGGAGCGAACAGGAUUAGAUACCCCAGUAGUCCCUGUCUCUUAUAC
Molecule: ribosomal RNA, 301 nt
Filed under: uncultured bacterium
Lineage: Bacteria
Description: partial 16S ribosomal RNA
Rfam family: Bacterial small subunit ribosomal RNA
Source: RNAcentral